RNAcentral lists this long non-coding RNA (1556 nucleotides) under Salmo salar (Atlantic salmon). RNAcentral describes it as "lncRNA (ENSSSAG00000120629.1)". The record is from RNAcentral. Lineage: Eukaryota; Metazoa; Chordata; Actinopteri; Salmoniformes; Salmonidae.
AGUCCCAUUCCAUCCGAUUCCAGGAGAGAGGAAGUAGAGUCUGUGGUAUGUAGUCCCAUUCCAUCCGAUUCCAGGAGAGAGGAAGUAGAGUCUGUGGUAUGUAGUCCCAUUCCAUCCGAUUCCAGGAGAGAGGAAGUAGAGUCUGUAUGUAGUCCCAUUCCAUCUGAUUCCAGGAGAGAGGAAGUAGAGUCUGUGGUAUGUAGUCCCAUUCCAUCCGAUUCCAGGAGAGAGGAAGUAGAGUCUGUAUGUAGUCCCAUUCCAUCCGAUUCCAGGAGAGAGGAAGUAGAGUCCUCAGUGUACAAUCCAAUACAAUGCAUUCGAUGACAGUAUUGCUGUGUGCUUUUCUGACCUCUGAGAUCAGAGAUAAUGCUAUCCAGGAAUGAAUGAAUAAAGGACAAACAUGUCUCCAGGGGGUUUAAUUAUGAGCCAGAGGUUGUAUCAAUGUGUAUAACAAUGUAUACAACCACUGACCUGGAACCUAUAGCUGUCAUUGUAUUGACACAUAUUACUACUCUGAUACAGCACUGUAGCGCCCUCUCCCUCUCUCACAUUAGACUGGGUGGUCCCACUUCCCAGUUCAGAAACCGGGAUCCAGACUGGCUUUUCAUACCAGGCUGCUACGGUCCAGAUCAGACCAGAUCACAUGGGUGGAGGACCACUAGAUCCAGUUCCACAGAAGGGAUUCAGACUAGAUCUGGUUGAAUCCAGUUGACAGAACAAAAAGGCAAUAAUUCAGUUCAUUUCAGUCAAGUUCAAUCAGUUCAGUCUCCGGUGCAAGAAACAGGCAACUAGCCCUAAGAAGAGAAUUGUGUCAGCCAAUCAGAUUGCAUGAAAAAGCGUAACUGUGUUUCAUUUCGAUCAGCUGCUCCAAUAGAAAGUCAGGUCCUCUUCUCCUCUGUAAUAAAUGCUGUAUGCAGUGUGCAUGUUUCAACAGGCUACCUCCACCACAUGUUGAGACACACACACUCUGAAACAUACCUACACAUGCAGGCCCAAUGUCCAAAGUCAUAACAGGUCUUCUCUUCAUGCUCUGUGUGAAUGUCGUCUUCUAAGCAGCAGCACACACACACACACACACACACACACACACACACACACACACACACACACACACACACACACACACACACACACACACACACACACACACACACACACACACACAAAGAAGCCUUCCAACUUCCCACCUUCACUUCACACACUCACACCAGUCCGCUCAACACACACACACACACACACACACACACACACACACACACACACACACACCUUGUCAACCAAUGUCAUUCAGAAGGUCUUCUAACUCCCUAUUUUCCAUGUUCCCUUAAUCUCCUGUCCCCUUUCCCCCAAAUCCUCAGUCCUCGUCAUCCUUCACCCCUCCUGCCCAAGCCCUCCCAUUGCUGGUUGGCAUGGCGACACUGAUGGGAUGGCCGUUGCUAGGAGAUGGUGAUGGCAGCGAGAAGGAGCGUCGCUAUGGUGAUGAGUAGGCGAUCCCUGGAUGGGCUGCUUCCACUGACACUCUUCUCCAGUUUAGGAAUCUCAGGGUUAAAAUCAUC